AUUGAACGCUGGCGGCAGGCCUAACACAUGCAAGUCGAACGAGUGGCGGACGGGUGAGUAAUGUCUGGCAUUCUGCCCGAUGGAUGGGGAUAACUACUGGAAACCGUAGCUAAUACCGCAUACCAUCGGAUCUGCCCAGAUGGGAUUAGCUAGUGGGUGGGGUAAAGGCUCACCUAGGCGACGAUCCCUAGCUGGUCUGAGAGGAUGACCAGCCACACUGGAACUGAGACACGGUCCAGACUCCUACGGGAGGCAGCAGUGGGGAAUAUUGCACAAUGGGCGCAAGCCUGGUACAGCCAUGCCGCGUGUAUGAAGAAGGCCUUCGGGUUGUAAAGUACUUUCAGCGGGGAGGCGUUACCCGCAGAGUAGGCACCGGCUAACUCCGUGCCAGCAGCCGCGGUAAUAC
RNAcentral lists this ribosomal RNA (406 nucleotides) under uncultured bacterium. RNAcentral's name for it is "partial 16S ribosomal RNA". It matches the Rfam family "Bacterial small subunit ribosomal RNA", at positions 30 to 526 of the family's 1533-position model. The record is from RNAcentral.